AUUGAACGCUGGCGGCAGGCUUAACACAUGCAAGUCGAGCGGGGGAAGGUAGCUUGCUACUGGACCUAGCGGCGGACGGGUGAGUAAUGCUUAGGAAUCUGCCUAUUAGUGGGGGACAACAUCUCGAAAGGGAUGCUAAUACCGCAUACGUCCUACGGGAGAAAGCAGGGGAUCUUCGGACCUUGCGCUAAUAGAUGAGCCUAAGUCGGAUUAGCUAGUUGGUGGGGUAAAGGCCUACCAAGGCGACGAUCUGUAGCGGGUCUGAGAGGAUGAUCCGCCACACUGGGACUGGGACACGGCCCAGACUCCUACGGGAGGCAGCAGUGGGGAAUAUUGGACAAUGGGGGGAACCCUGAUCCAGCCAUGUCGCGUGUGUGAAGAAGGCCUUAUGGUUGUAAAGCACUUUAAGCGAGGAGGAGGCUACUCUAGUUAAUACCUAGGGAUAGUGGACGUUACUCGCAGAAUAAGCACCGGCUAACUCUGUGCCAGCCGCCGCAGUAA
RNAcentral lists this ribosomal RNA (501 nucleotides) under uncultured bacterium. Its description in RNAcentral is "partial 16S ribosomal RNA". It matches the Rfam family "Bacterial small subunit ribosomal RNA", at positions 30 to 523 of the family's 1533-position model. The record is from RNAcentral.